This 492-nucleotide ribosomal RNA is filed under the name uncultured bacterium. RNAcentral describes it as "partial 16S ribosomal RNA". It matches the Rfam family "Bacterial small subunit ribosomal RNA", at positions 29 to 507 of the family's 1533-position model. The record is from RNAcentral.
AGUGAACGCUGGCGGUAGGCCUAACACAUGCAAGUCGAACGGCAGCACAGUAAGAGCUUGCUCUUACGGGUGGCGAGUGGCGGACGGGUGAGGAAUACAUCGGAAUCUACUUUUUCGUGGGGGAUAACGUAGGGAAACUUUCGCUGAUACCGCAUACGACCUACGGGUGAAAGCAGGGGAUCUUCGGACCUUGCGCGAUUGAAUGAGCCGAUGUCGGAUUAGCUAGUUGGCGGGGUAAAGGCCCACCAAGGCGACGAUCCGUAGCUGGUCUGAGAGGAUGAUCAGUCACACUGGAACUGAGACACGGUCCAGACUCCUACGGGAGGCAGCAGUGGGGAAUAUUGGACAAUGGGCGCAAGCCUGAUCCAGCCAUACCGCGUGGGUGAAGAAGGCCUUCGGGUUGUAAAGCCCUUUUGUUGGGAAAGAAAAGCAGCAGGUUAAUACCCCGCUGUUCUGACGGUACCCAAAGAAUAAGCACCGGCUAACUUCGUG